This 107-nucleotide non-coding RNA is filed under the name Vibrio aestuarianus. RNAcentral's name for it is "gltS". It matches the Rfam family "gltS RNA". The record is from RNAcentral. Lineage: Bacteria; Pseudomonadati; Pseudomonadota; Gammaproteobacteria; Vibrionales; Vibrionaceae.
UAUCACUAAGGAAUGUUUUUCUCGCAAUAUUUUUCCUGUGAGAAACGGAAAGGACUCGAACUCGCCAAUCACCGGUGGGUUUAAAUUGAUAACAAUUAAAGGACAAG